This 461-nucleotide ribosomal RNA is filed under the name uncultured Desulfobulbus sp. RNAcentral describes it as "bacterial SSU rRNA". It matches the Rfam family "Bacterial small subunit ribosomal RNA", at positions 926 to 1382 of the family's 1533-position model. Lineage: Bacteria; Pseudomonadati; Thermodesulfobacteriota; Desulfobulbia; Desulfobulbales; Desulfobulbaceae. The record is from RNAcentral.
CAAGCGGUGGAGUAUGUGGUUAAUUCGAUGCAACGCGAAGAACCUUACCUGGUCUUGACAUCCCGGAGACCCUUAGGAAACUAGGGGUGCUUCCAUCUGGAAGAAUCUGGAGACAGGUGCUGCAUGGCUGUCGUCAGCUCGUGUCGUGAGAUGUUGGGUUAAGUCCCGCAACGAGCGCAACCCUUGCCUUUAGUUGCCAGCAGUUCGGCUGGGCACUCUAAAGGGACUGCCGGUGUUAAACCGGAGGAAGGUGGGGGAUGACGUCAAGUCCUCAUGGCCUUUAUGACCAGGGCUACACACGUACUACAAUGGCCGAUACAAAGGGCAGCGACACUGCGAGGUGAAGCCAAUCCCGUAAAAUCGGUCUCAGUCCGGAUUGGAGUCUGCAACUCGACUCCAUGAAGUUGGAAUCGCUAGUAAUCGUGGAUCAGCAUGCCACGGUGAAUACGUUCCCGGGCCUU